GGCGGUAGGCAUUGGUAAGAAGGGGUUAAGAGGAUGUGUGUGGGGGGAGGAACGCCAUCACCUCCCCCCAGUGAGCGAAGGGUGGUCCGUUAAAGGACUCCGGGGGGCGUGGCCCUGUCCGAAGCCUAUGGAGGUGAGGGCCAAAGGCACGCCCCAGAGCGGUGACCCGGGGAGCUCCUAGUCGACGUGCCUCGGCAGGAGACUCCCCGAUAUAGUGUUAACCCUUCCCCGUGUCUCCAGCAAAUGGGCUGGAGCCGGAUAGUCGAUAGGACCAAUCCCUAAGCCAAUGCCUCUCAUUCCUGAAUUCAAUAAAGUUGUGGCCUAAUUCGCCCAAUUAACCUU
This is a non-coding RNA of Podarcis lilfordi (Lilford's wall lizard), 342 nucleotides long. NCBI's taxonomy places the organism in Eukaryota, Metazoa, Chordata, Lepidosauria, Squamata, Lacertidae. The record is from the annotation of a GenBank genome assembly.